CCUGUCUGACCUGGAGCUGUUCUGAGGUGUUGUUCCUGCAGCUGACCUCGAGGCCAGAGCACAGGACCUGGUGACCUGUGGCCUUCCGAGGCUUCUGUUCUGCAGUGCCCUCGAGGGCAGAGCGUGGGACUUGGUGCCCCGGAGCUUUUCCAAGGCAUCUGUCCUGCAACUAGCUCCAGUCACUGACAUGGAGCAGAGACCCCCAAGAGACCCUAGGAUGCCCUGGGUGGAGGAGGAGGAAGAAGGCCCUGGAGCUGACCCAGGACAGGAGACAGAAGAGGUGGUGCCGUUCCAUCCACCACAGGAGGAUGCAGCCGUGGAGCGCACACAAGAGCAGCAAUCCAGCCGUGGCCGCUUCCGCAGAACAGCGCAGCUCGUUUGCGAAUUCAUUAAGAGUGUUCGGCAGGAAGAGGCCAGGGCCAUGGGCACUGGGCUCCGAGCACACUCAGAGGUCCUCAGACAGGAGACCAG
Passer domesticus (house sparrow) is the source of this 471-nucleotide long non-coding RNA. RefSeq lists it as uncharacterized. The transcript is spliced from 3 exons. Lineage: Eukaryota; Metazoa; Chordata; Aves; Passeriformes; Passeridae. The record is from RefSeq and is a predicted model, not a curated record.